GCAAUAAUUUCUGCAUUUACAGUAUGCUGCUCCAAAAAUAGAGGUGCACAUACAGUACUGUACCAUCAAUAGAGGUGCAUUUCUCCUAAUUUUAUAACUAAAGAGAAUAUUCUCUGUAGAUGAAAAGAACAAAUAUUUCAUUAUGAUACAAUAAAAUUCUAGUAAAUGUACAGUGAAACAAUUGGGGAAAUCAUUUUCCAACAAUUUUCCUCCAAAAAAUGUUAAACCAUAUUGAUGUUUAUAGGUCCUUACUAAGAAGUAUGUAUUUUAUUUAGGAUAGUCAACUUUAGAGAGUUUUCAUUCAAUGGCAGCUACCCAUCAUGUUCAAAAAUAUUUUUUAAUUUCAAGAAAACCAAGAUAGAUUUUCAUAAUUGUAAAUAACCGUUGUAACUAUUAUAUUUUUAUCUUCAUUUCAUAUAAUCACAAAAUCAUUUUGUAAUUAAACAUUAUAGCUAGGUUUUCAGACUGGAAUAUUUUAUCAUAACACAAGGAUUUUUUUCCAGUAAUAAUGAACCUACAUCUUUGUUAUUCAUAGAACAUACUGGGGAUUUAUUAUAAUUCAUGGGAUAACAAUUUUUGUGGAUUUCAUAGGUAAAGAUGAACCGCAAAUUUAAAUAUUUAACGAAAUACAACUGUUCUAUAGGCUUGUAUCUGUUCUAUAGGCUUGUAUCUGUUCUAUAGGCUUGUAUCUGUUCUAUAGGUUUGUAUCUGUUCUAUAGGCUUGUAUCUGUUCUAUAGGCUUGUAUCUGUUCUAUAUGCUUAUAUCUGUUCUAUAGGCUUGUAUGCAGAUUUUGGCAAAAUCACGAAAUUAGAUAUCCAUGAAAAUGCAAUGUUUACUGAAUCCACGAAAAUUGGUACCUGUGAAAAUAAAUGAAUCCACGAAAAUUGGUACCCAUGAAAAUAAAUGAAUCCACAGUAUAUACAUCUAACCAACUUGUACCAUGUUAUAUUUAACUAACAAACACUUGUAUUUAUCAAUUCAUAAUCAUUUUCUGGAAAUAAUGACCCAGUUUUAAAGCCUCGUUCUGAAUACUUAAAAGUCUGAAAACCUAGUAAUAUUUAGCCAGUCAGCAUUUGGUACCAUUUUGGUUUAUUUAAAAACAAAAAUAAAAGAAUAUUAAGGAA
RNAcentral lists this long non-coding RNA (1125 nucleotides) under Mytilus galloprovincialis (Mediterranean mussel). The record is from RNAcentral. Lineage: Eukaryota; Metazoa; Mollusca; Bivalvia; Mytilida; Mytilidae.